Molecule: long non-coding RNA, 1182 nt
Organism: Pan troglodytes (chimpanzee)
Lineage: Eukaryota; Metazoa; Chordata; Mammalia; Primates; Hominidae
Exons: 3
Source: RefSeq, a predicted model, not a curated record
CACUCACUCCAGGGGAAGCUGGCUGCUGAGUCAUGAAGAGGUCCGUGCAGCCCUCCGGAGAGGCCCAUGGGAGACACUGAGGCCUCCAGCCAACAGCGACCAACCCCUUGCUAGGGGUGAGGAAGACUCUUGGAAGACUGUUCAGCCCCAGAAAGCCUUGAGGUGAUCAUGGCUUAGACCAGCAUCUUAGCUGCAACCUCAUGGGAGACCUAGAGGCAGAGCCAUCCAGCUGGGUCAUUCCCUGGCUCCUGCCCUGCGGAAGCCCUGUGAUACUGUAUAAUUGAUUUUCCAGCAAACCUUCAGAGGGAGAAGGAGAAAUUGUCCCUUGGCCCCUACAGUUUUGGCACUGUGAGCAGGAGACUGACACCAUUCUGCUCUCCUGGGAGCUGCAGUGAAGGAAACCCAGGACCUGACAAACUGGCAGAAGGAACAGAAGCCUAUGAUGCAGAUGUGGCCAAUCAGUGCCCUGGGGCUCCAGCAGCAGUGCAGGAAUGCGGAACUGAUCAUAAAGAUCCAACCAGCAUGAAGAAAUUCUGACACUGGAGGAAGGGCUACCGGGAGAAAACAUUUCUCUUUUCCCCAGCCAGCCGUCAGCUAGCCUGAGAGAAUGUGAGGCUGGGGCUACCAUCUUGCCACUAUGAAGAGAGAACCUGCUGAGCAAGGAGGCAACACAGAGCCAGAUAUGGAGAGAAAUAAGCAGUCUUGAAAUGCUGUUUCAUCCUCUGGAUCAAACCAUUCCUGAAGGUAGCGCUUUCAAUUCUGACCCUUCAAUUAUGGGGUUCAUUGAAUUCCCUUUUUGUUUAGCCAGUUUACAUUCAGUUCUAUGUCACUUGCAAACAAAAUCCUUCCAACAGAUGCACUCGAUGGCCACAGGCCAAAGUCAGUGUCUCCUGGAGUGGCAGCUCUGAGACGUGUCCACAUGGGACCACAGUGUAGAGAAGCCACACACCACCAUAGUGCUCCUGAACCAGAAGAGAUCAUGGGCUUCUAUAGAGGGGGGUGAGCCAGGUGCAAGGCAGUGGAGUAGGAAAACCUGGGCUGGGGCCAGCCACAGUGACUCACACCUGUAAACCCAGCGCUUUGGGAAACAAAGGUGGAAGGAUCGCUUGAACCCAGGGGUUUGAGAACAGCCUGCACAACAGAGACCUCCUCUCUAACAAAAAUAAAAUAAUUUUCCAGGUG